GGGGCUGUGUCUCAGUUGGUAGAGUGCUUGCGUAGCAUGCAUAAGGCCCUGGGUUCCAUUCCCAGCAGCACCC
RNAcentral lists this transfer RNA (73 nucleotides) under Mesocricetus auratus (golden hamster). It matches the Rfam family "tRNA". Rfam says of the family: Transfer RNA (tRNA) molecules are approximately 80 nucleotides in length. Lineage: Eukaryota; Metazoa; Chordata; Mammalia; Rodentia; Cricetidae. The record is from Rfam by way of RNAcentral.